GCUCUCCUUUUCAGGGAACAGGGCUUGAGAAGCAAGGACUUAAAAGAUGGGUAGGACUUAAAAAGGGCACUUCAGUUGCAAAUGAAGGUCUAUCUGCCGGAACACUGGCCAUUCCACAGGACAGGUGACCACAAGAUCACUUUACAGCUUGGGAAUCGACAACCUACCAGACCACGUGGUCUCCAGCUCUCCAGAUCCAGCCACACUCACGGCCAACUGCUGCUUUAAAGUGUCCCUUCUUAUUUCUGUGGGUAUGUUACUGGGUCUUUCGGGUCACUCACCCACUAGACCACCUCCCCCUCCAGAGGGGUCCCCUGCCCCCCUAGAAAUUUGGUGGCUUGACAGUGCAGUGUGCUUUUUAGACAACUAGUUAAAACAGGAACAAGAACCCCCACAAGACACCCAUCUUCUGACUACUCAUGGAUAGAGAAGUUCAGCUUAUGCACAAAAGAAUCACACCAAUGAAGUUUUUCAACCUUUAUUAAUAUGUCAUCUAUUUUUAAAAAUAGUGAGACUGCUCCAAACAACAGAUGCAUGAGAGAUACCUGAAAAUUAAAAGGGCAAAGUAAUUACACUAGAUUCCUGUGAAAAUACAAACACAAACCAGUUUAGGACAAAUUCAAUCAAGAGGUAUAGUAUAGUUUGAAGCUACUUCCACUUCCCCUAACUUCAUCUGAAGAAAAAGGAGGAAAACGGAAAGGCAGAAGUAAAAGUCAAGCAAAGACGCCGCAGGGAUUUGAACCCUGUCCUGGAAGCCAGGAGUGCCAACCACCAGCAUCUUUUGCUUUUUUUUUUAAAGCUAGGUAAAGGCCAAAAAGCAAAACCUGAGAAAACAAAGUAUUUUGUUUUCUCAGGAAAAGAAAAACCUUUAAAUUUUAAGACCCUACUGAAGAGCACUGGAGAAUCUGCUUCAGCUAAGAUGCUAGCUUGGCCAAGUCUGUUAUGUUCACCUGAAAAAGUCUUAGCAGAGAAGUCACUUGUGGGGAGACCUUGCUUUUUAACAGGUUUCUGGAAAAGCUAGGGAGAAGUGGUUGCCCGCUUUCCCCCUUUCCCUCCCCUUCAAGCACCACUCAGGUCUGGGCUUCAUCAAGGGCUGCUCUAAAAACAGCCC
This 1111-nucleotide long non-coding RNA is filed under the name Sus scrofa (pig). RNAcentral describes it as "lncRNA (ENSSSCG00025076025.1)". Lineage: Eukaryota; Metazoa; Chordata; Mammalia; Artiodactyla; Suidae. The record is from RNAcentral.